GACGAACGCUGGCGGCGUGCCUAAUACAUGCAAGUCGAACGGUUUAGUUCCAAGAGGCUUGCCUUUUGGAACUAGACAGUGGCGGACGGGUGAGUAACACGUAGGCAACCUACCUGUCAAACCGGGAUAACCUCGGGAAACCGAAGCUAAACCCGGAUAAGCUCCUUUUUCGCAUGAAGGGGGAGUGAAAAGGUGCGACCUGAUGACAGAUGGGCCUGCGGCGCAUUAGCUAGUAGGUAGGGUAACGGCCUACCUAGGCGAUGAUGCGUAGCCGACCUGAGAGGGCGUACGGCCACACUGGGACUGAGAUACGGCCCAGACUCCUACGGGAGGCAGCAGUAGGGAAUCUUCGGCAAUGGGCGAAAGCCUGACCGAGCAACGCCGCGUGAGUGAGGAAGGCCUUCGGGCUGUAAAACUCUGUUGUUUGGGAAGAAGGGAAAGGGUAGGACCCUUUGGUGACGGUACCAAACGAGAAAGCCCCGACUAACUACGUG
This 494-nucleotide ribosomal RNA is filed under the name uncultured bacterium. RNAcentral's name for it is "partial 16S ribosomal RNA". It matches the Rfam family "Bacterial small subunit ribosomal RNA", at positions 28 to 507 of the family's 1533-position model. The record is from RNAcentral.